AUGGCCUGGACGCCUAUCUUCCUUAUGUUCCUCUCCUAUUGUACAGGCUCCCUGUCCCAGGCCGUGCUGACCCAGCCGCCCUCCCUCUUGGCAUCUCCGGGAACGACAGACAGACUCAUCUGCACCCUGAGCAGGGACAUCAGUGUUGGCGGCUCUAAUAUAUACUGGAUCCAGCAGCAGCCAUGGAGCCCUCCCCGGGAUCACCUGUACUACUCCUCAGACUCCGAUAAGCACCAGGGCUCCGGGGUCCCCAGCCGCUUCUCGGGCUCCAAAGACGCCUCGGCCAAUGCGGGGCUUCUGCGCAUCUCGGGGCUGCAGGCUGAGACCGAGGCGGACUAUCACUGGGCUGCAGCUCAGGGCGCUGGGAGCAGCCUCCUCGCUCACUGCACAGGGUCCUGGGCCCAGUCUGUGCUGACUCAGCCGUCCUCCGUUUCUCGGGCCCUGAGCCAGACGGUCACCAUCUCCUGCACUGGAAGCAGCUCCAACAUCGGGGGUGGUAAUUCGGUGAGCUGGAUCCAACAGCUCCCAGGAAAAGCCCCCAGAACCGUCAUCUAUGGGUCCUGGGCUCAGUCUGUGCUGACUCAGCCGCCCUCCGUGUCUGGGGCCCUGGGCCAGAGGGUCACCAUCUCCUGCACUGGAAGCAGCUCCAACCCCAGGGGUUAUGCUCUUUAG
Molecule: non-coding RNA, 672 nt
Organism: Mirounga angustirostris (Northern elephant seal)
Lineage: Eukaryota; Metazoa; Chordata; Mammalia; Carnivora; Phocidae
Source: the annotation of a RefSeq genome assembly